CCUUGCAUUACUGGGACUAUUG
RNAcentral lists this unclassified non-coding RNA (22 nucleotides) under Mus musculus (house mouse). Its description in RNAcentral is "oocyte_clustered_small_RNA12422". The record is from RNAcentral. Lineage: Eukaryota; Metazoa; Chordata; Mammalia; Rodentia; Muridae.